CCUACGGGGGGCUGCAGUGGGGAAUAUUGCACAAUGGGCGCAAGCCUGAUGCAGCCAUGCCGCGUGUGUGAAGAAGGCCUUCGGGUUGUAAAGCACUUUCAGCGGGGAGGAAGGCGGUGAGGUUAAUAACCUCAUCGAUUGACGUUACCCGCAGAAGAAGCACCGGCUAACUCCGUGCCAGCAGCCGCGGUAAUACGGAGGGUGCAAGCGUUAAUCGGAAUUACUGGGCGUAAAGCGCACGCAGGCGGUCUGUCAAGUCGGAUGUGAAAUCCCCGGGCUCAACCUGGGAACUGCAUUCGAAACUGGCAGGCUAGAGUCUUGUAGAGGGGGGUAGAAUUCCAGGUGUAGCGGUGAAAUGCGUAGAGAUCUGGAGGAAUACCGGUGGCGAAGGCGGCCCCUUGGACAAAGACUGACGCUCAGGUGCGAAAGCGUGGGGAGCAAACAGGAUUAGAUACCCGAGUAGUC
This 465-nucleotide ribosomal RNA is filed under the name uncultured Klebsiella sp. RNAcentral's name for it is "bacterial SSU rRNA". It matches the Rfam family "Bacterial small subunit ribosomal RNA", at positions 338 to 795 of the family's 1533-position model. The record is from RNAcentral. Lineage: Bacteria; Pseudomonadati; Pseudomonadota; Gammaproteobacteria; Enterobacterales; Enterobacteriaceae.